GUAACGCGUGGGUAACCUGCCCUGUACAGGGGGACAACAGCUGGAAACGGCUGCUAAUACCGCAUAAGCCUACGGAACCGCAUGGUUCAGCAGGAAAAACUCCGGUGGUACAGGAUGGGCCCGCGUCUGAUUAGCUGGUUGGCGGGGUAAAGGCCCACCAAGGCGACGAUCAGUAGCCGGCUUGAGAGAGUGAACGGCCACAUUGGGACUGAGACACGGCCCAAACUCCUACGGGAGGCAGCAGUGGGGAAUAUUGCACAAUGGGGGAAACCCUGAUGCAGCAACGCCGCGUGAGUGAAGAAGUAUUUCGGUAUGUAAAGCUCUAUCAGCAGGGAAGAAAAUGACGGUACCUGACUAAGAAGCACCGGCUAAAUACGUG
RNAcentral lists this ribosomal RNA (379 nucleotides) under uncultured bacterium. RNAcentral's name for it is "bacterial SSU rRNA". It matches the Rfam family "Bacterial small subunit ribosomal RNA", at positions 110 to 507 of the family's 1533-position model. The record is from RNAcentral.